CCAAUAGCGUAUAUUAAAGUUGUUGCAGUUAAAAAGCUCGUAGUUGAAUUUCGGGAUUGACGUGAUGGUCGUGCCUUAAGGGGUAUGAACUGUCGCAGUUGAUUUCUCACCUUCUGGAGAAGCUUGAUGUCCUUAAUUGGGUGUCAUGUGGAACCAGGACCUUUACCUUGAAAAAAUUAGAGUGUUUAAAGCAGGCAUUUUGCUCGAAUACAUUAGCAUGGAAUAAUAGAAUAGGACGGCAUGGUUCUAUUUUGUUGGUUUCUAGGAUCACCGUAAUGAUUAAUAGGGAUAGUUGGGGGCAUUAGUAUUCAAUUGUCAGAGGUGAAAUUCUUGGAUUUAUUGAAGACUAACUACUGCGAAAGCAUUUGCCAAGGAUGUUUUCAUUAAUCAAGAACGAAAGUUAGGGGAUCGAAGACGAUCAGAUACCGUCGUAGUCUUAACCAUAAACUAUGCCGACUAGGAAUCAGACGAUGUUAAUUUUUUAAUGACUCGUUUGGCACCUUACG
This 506-nucleotide ribosomal RNA is filed under the name uncultured Glomeromycotina. Its description in RNAcentral is "partial small subunit ribosomal RNA". It matches the Rfam family "Eukaryotic small subunit ribosomal RNA", at positions 591 to 1092 of the family's 1831-position model. Lineage: Eukaryota; Fungi; Glomeromycota. The record is from RNAcentral. RNAcentral also lists the same sequence under 1 other name.